UGGGGAAUAUUGCACAAUGGGCGAAAGCCUGAUGCAGCGACGCCGCGUGAGGGAUGACGGCCUUCGGGUUGUAAACCUCUUUCAGCAGGGACGAAGCGCAAGUGACGGUACCUGCAGAAGAAGCACCGGCUAACUACGUGCCAGCAGCCGCGGUAAUACGUAGGGUGCAAGCGUUGUCCGGAAUUACUGGGCGUAAAGAGUUCGUAGGCGGUUUGUCGCGUCGUUUGUGAAAACCAGCAGCUCAACUGCUGGCUUGCAGGCGAUACGGGCAGACUUGAGUACUGCAGGGGGGACUGGAAUUCCUGGUGUAGCGGUGGAAUGCGCAGAUAUCAGGAGGAACACCGGUGGCGAAGGCGGGUCUCUUGGCAGUAACUGACGCUGAGGAACGAAAGCGUAGGUAGCGAACAGG
Molecule: ribosomal RNA, 409 nt
Filed under: bacterium
Lineage: Bacteria
Description: partial 16S ribosomal RNA
Rfam family: Bacterial small subunit ribosomal RNA
Source: RNAcentral